This 381-nucleotide ribosomal RNA is filed under the name Clostridioides difficile. RNAcentral's name for it is "bacterial SSU rRNA". It matches the Rfam family "Bacterial small subunit ribosomal RNA", at positions 152 to 551 of the family's 1533-position model. Lineage: Bacteria; Bacillati; Bacillota; Clostridia; Peptostreptococcales; Peptostreptococcaceae. The record is from RNAcentral.
CGAAAGGUAUGCUAAUACGGGAUAAUAUAUUUGAGAGGCAUCUCUUGAGUAUCAAAGGUGAGCCAGUACAGGAUGGACCCGCGUCUGAUUAGCUAGUUGGUAAGGUAACGGCUUACCAAGGCGACGAUCAGUAGCCGACCUGAGAGGGUGAUCGGCCACAUUGGAACUGAGACACGGUCCAAACUCCUACGGGAGGCAGCAGUGGGGAAUAUUGCACAAUGGGCGAAAGCCUGAUGCAGCAACGCCGCGUGAGUGAUGAAGGCCUUCGGGUCGUAAAACUCUGUCCUCAAGGAAGAUAAUGACGGUACUUGAGGAGGAAGCCCCGGCUAACUACGUGCCAGCAGCCGCGGUAAUACGUAGGGGGCUAGCGUUAUCCGGAUU